AGAUCUGUCUUGACUAUGUUAAAGAUAAUAGAACCGGAUCAGUUCAUAACGGAUGUAGAGGGUUGUAUGAUCAUGACAGAAGUGUUUUUGCUGAUCCAUCACAGAUCUAGCAAAAACGCUGGAGUGAAAAGCCUCAGCCU
Molecule: long non-coding RNA, 140 nt
Organism: Bufo bufo (common toad)
Lineage: Eukaryota; Metazoa; Chordata; Amphibia; Anura; Bufonidae
Exons: 3
Source: RefSeq, a predicted model, not a curated record